This 467-nucleotide ribosomal RNA is filed under the name uncultured bacterium. RNAcentral describes it as "partial 16S ribosomal RNA". It matches the Rfam family "Bacterial small subunit ribosomal RNA", at positions 29 to 507 of the family's 1533-position model. The record is from RNAcentral.
ACGAACGCUGGCGGCGUGCUUCACACAUGCAAGUCGAACGGAAAGGCCCUGCUUUUGUGGGGUGCUCGAGUGGCGAACGGGUGAGUAACACGUGAGUAACCUGCCCUUGACUUUGGGAUAACUUCAGGAAACUGGGGCUAAUACCGGAUAGGAGCUCCUGCUGCAUGGCGGGGGUUGGAAAGUUUCGGCGGCCGGGGAUGGACGCGCGGCUUCUCAGCUCGUUGGUGGGGUAGUGGCUUACCACGGCUUUGACGGGUAGCCGGCCUGCGAGGGUGACCGGCCACAUUGGGACUGAGAUACGGCCCAGACUCCUACGGGAGGCAGCAGGGGGGAAUAGUGCAGAAUGGGCGGAAGCCUGAUGCAGCAACGCCGCGUGCGGGAUGACGGCCUUCGGGGUGUAAACCGCUUUCGCCGGUGACGAAGCGUGAGUGACGGUAAUGGGUAAAGAAGCACCGGCUAACUACGUG